AUCUUGCUGGGGAUUCCUGACUACCUGAGGCCUUCCAAAGAAAGCGGUUGCUGGCUGCCCACGCAGAUAUUGUGUGAUCUAUGACCGUGAGAUCAGGCUAAAGGAGGAAUUCUGUUUGGAGCCUCUAAAAUAGAGUUUGGGGAAGCUAAAACCAGCUUACAUAGAUGACUUGCUCAAAUACAGCCAAACGAACUUACACUUCAGCUAACAUGCACAGUGUGUAAGAAUGGUACCUGGACACGUCAGCAGUGUGGUUCAGUCUUCAAGCAACAAACCCUCAGCUGGAAUAAAGGACUUUGAUUUUACCCAUACAUUUGAAUGAAGUUAGGACCUGGCCUGCAGUGUUGGUGUAUUGUUGACAGACAGUAGCUUUCAAAAAAGUUUUCCCUCAGUACUUUUCCCCCUUCACUGUCAAUCCAGAGCUGCAGAAAGCUUAUUUAAAGCUCAUUUCAGCCCAGCAUGUGCAUGCGGUGUGCGCUGAGCAAUGGUGAGUCAUGUUCAGCUUGAUAAGGAAAUGAAUGAAAAUCCCUACAAUGUAAAGAGACUCCGUGUUCCCAUGUCUAGACUAUGCAUGCUGUGUUGGAAUACUCUAAUUUCCAAGUUCCCAUGUUGUCUCAGUCAAGUGGGCCUGUUUUCCCUGCAAAUGGCAAGUAAUUUUCCUGUAUUUCAGGAUGAUGCUCUGCUAACAUGGAAGUUUCUCACUUUGCUGUUCAGGUCAAAGAGAUUUCAUAUGUUCUAUAGCUAGUGUAUAUAAACCUGAAGAGGACUUACCAGUUGUCCCAGUGUCUCAGAAUAGGAAAGAAUCUGUCAAGACUUUUAUGCUGUUACAAGUAUCCAUGUGCUUGUAAGACCUUGGGCCGUAGUGCUCUGUGACUUGCAAGAAGAUGCUGAACUGGGAAAAACGAUGUUGUCCCACUUCCAAUGCUGAAAAAGAUGCUUUCAGAUUCCAAGUUGAAGAUGACAAUGUUUAGUGUGAAACUGGUGACAAGAAGUACCAGCUGACUUCUGAACUGGGUAAGAAUAAUUAAGUGCUGUGUAUUGGCCUGCACGUGCAUUUCAGCUUUCAUGCUUCGAAGGGGCAGCACGUUUUUGCAUUGAUAAACAGCCUAGUAUUAAUUCAGAACAUACU
Gallus gallus (chicken) is the source of this 1129-nucleotide long non-coding RNA. NCBI's taxonomy places the organism in Eukaryota, Metazoa, Chordata, Aves, Galliformes, Phasianidae. The record is from Ensembl.